Molecule: ribosomal RNA, 582 nt
Filed under: Fusarium sp. hz-8
Lineage: Eukaryota; Fungi; Ascomycota; Sordariomycetes; Hypocreales; Nectriaceae
Description: eukaryotic LSU rRNA
Rfam family: 5.8S ribosomal RNA (bases 143-296)
Source: RNAcentral
AAAGCUCCCAAACCCCUGUGAACAUACCUUUAUGUUGCCUCGGCGGAUCAGCCCGCGCCCCGUAAAACGGGACGGCCCGCCGCAGGAACCACAAAACUCUGAUUUUAGUGUAACUUCUGAGUCUAAAAAACAAAUAAAUCAAAACUUUCAACAACGGAUCUCUUGGUUCUGGCAUCGAUGAAGAACGCAGCAAAAUGCGAUAAGUAAUGUGAAUUGCAGAAUUCAGUGAAUCAUCGAAUCUUUGAACGCACAUUGCGCCCGCCAGUAUUCUGGCGGGCAUGCCUGUUCGAGCGUCAUUUCAACCCUCAAGCCCCCGGGUUUGGGUUGCGGGAUCGGGCUGUACUCCAGCCCGGCCCCGAAAUCUAGUGGCGGUCUCGCUGCAGCCUCCAUUGCGUAGUAGCUAACACCUCGCAACUGGAACGCGGCGCGGCCAAGCCGUUAAACCCCCAACUUCUGAAUGUUGACCUCGGAUCAGGUAGGAAUACCCGCUGAACUUAAGCAUAUCAAUAAGGCCGGAGGAGAUAUCAUUACCGGAGUAACACUCCCAAAACCGUGUGAACACACUUUAUGUUGCCCCAGCGG